AUGAAAAUAAAUGGUCCGUUCAAUGCUACAUCAGGAGUGACACGUCCACUUCCCUGCGAGAGAGGGUUUUAUUGUCCCAGCGGUUCGGCGAAUCAGCGCCCCUGUCCGGCGGGCACCUAUGGGAACGGGUCGGGGCUGGUGGAGGAGCGGCAGUGCUCGCGCUGUGACCCUGGGAUGUAUUGUAAAGGAGCAGGUACAACUCUGACCCCCGUUAUUUCUCCGGGACGCGACCGCCGCUGUAAUGGAGGCACCAUAAACCUGGCUCAGAUGAUGCUACGUGUCGUUACAGGGGGUGCGGUUCCGAGUGGCGCGUGUGCUGCGGGGUUUGUUUGUGUGGGCGGAGCCUCUCAGCCUUCGCCGGCCGACGGGCUGACCGGGUUCCCGUGCCCUCCUGGGUUCUUCUGUGCGACGGGCACAUCGGUACCAAAACCCUGCCCACGAGGAACGUUCAGUGAGCAGAGUGGCCUCGUGGGCGAAUCCCAGUGUCGUAGCUGCAUCCCUGGCUUCUACUGCUCAGAGACGGGCCUCUCCGCCGUCUCCGGACCCUGCCUGCCAGGGUUCUACUGCCUGGAGGGCUCCCGGACGGCCACGCCCGCGUCGAGCGCAUCCGGAGGCGUUUGUCCAACAGGCCACUACUGUGCAGAGGGCAGUGGCGUGCCGUCGCCCUGCCCUGCUGGCUCCUACCUGAAUGACACCGGUGCCAACAGCGAGGAUGCCUGCAGGCCAUGCCCCCCUGGUUGGUUCCAGGAUUUAUCAGGCCAGAACAAGUGUAAUCCCUGCCCUCCCGGGUUCCACUGCCAGGCUCUGAGUCCCAGCCCCACCAGGGGCAGCCUCACUGGAGUGUCGGCCCCCUCGCCCUGCCCAGCUGGCUACAUCUGCCCCAGAGGGAGUCCAGGCACUCAGCCUGUCCCCUGCCCUAAAGGCACCUACAGCCACAACCAGGGUCUCACAGCGAUAGGCGAGUGCCGGGUGUGCCCAGCCGGGCUGUUCUGUGGCUCAGAGGGUCUGACUCAACCAUCAGGAACAUGCGCUGCCGGGUUUCUGUGCCUGACGGGCGCCACGGUGCCGAACCCGACUGACAACACAACGGGGUCGCUCUGUCCGCCUGGGACGUUCUGCCAACAGGGCCAAAGAGCGGGUGACUGCUGGCCGGGCUUUUAUUGCGACUGGGGCUCCAGCAGAGCGGAUCGGGCCCUGUGCCCGGCUGGCUCCUUCUGCCCCGGUGGAACGCCCGUCCCUGUGCCAUGUCCUGCAGGAACGUAUGGCCCCGACACCGGCAACGCCCAUCAAGACAACUGCUCCACCUGCACGGCUGGCUACUACUGUGAAGUUGAGGGCACCGUGCAGCCCGCCCUGUGUCCUGCUGGGUUCUACUGCCCUCCAGGGCUGGUCCUGGGACUGCUGUUCCCCUGCCCCCCUGGCACCGUGCAGAGCCGGCUCGGAGCUUCCGGUCCCGAUGCUUGUCUGCCCUGCCCUGCUGGGAUGUUCUGCGCUCGUCCCGGUCAGUCCCAGCCCACAGGGCCCUGUGAGGCAGGAUUUCUCUGUCCCGCCGGGUCCACCAGCCCAAAUGCUGCUGAGCACCAGGGGAAUUCAACCAGAAGCAGCCUUUGCCCUCCCGGCUACUACUGCCCCUCGGGGACCGGCCACCCCCUCCCCUGCCCCCCGGGCUCGCUCUCCAAAGCCCAGGGCCUGAAACGCGCUGAAGACUGCCCGCCCUGCCCCUCUGGACUCUUCUGUGACAGGCCUGCGAUGUCGGAGCUGUCAGAUGCUCUCCCGUGCCACGCUGGGCAUGUGUGCCAGGGCGGCAGCUCCAGUCCCAGCCCAUCAGACGGUUCCCAUGGCUACCUCUGCCCUGCCGGCCAUAGCUGUCCUGUUGGCUCUGCGAGCGAGGUGCCCUGUGAGCCUGCAACUUACAGCCCUGCUCCUGGAGCAGCUCGCUGCAUAAUGUGCCCUGAAGGGACCGUGUGCUCCUCCACAGCCACUCAGGAGCCCUCUCUUUGCCCCGCUGGUGAGGAUGCUGUAAAUAAUUUACCCCUUUGUGUAAAGUAUCAGCGUCCAGUAGUGCCCAGUGGUCAGAUACCUUUUUUUUAA
Molecule: long non-coding RNA, 2091 nt
Organism: Betta splendens (Siamese fighting fish)
Lineage: Eukaryota; Metazoa; Chordata; Actinopteri; Anabantiformes; Osphronemidae
Source: Ensembl